ACUCGAGUGGCGAACGGGUGAGUAACACGUGGGUGAUCUGCCCUGCACUUCGGGAUAAGCCUGGGAAACUGGGUCUAAUACCGGAUAGGAGCCAUUUUUAGUGUGAUGGUUGGAAAGUUUUUCGGUGUAGGAUGAGCUCGCGGCCUAUCAGCUUGUUGGUGGGUAAUGGCCUACCAAGGCGGCGACGGGUAGCCGGCCUGAGAGGGUGGACGGCCACAUUGGGACUGAAAUACGGCCCAG
This 240-nucleotide ribosomal RNA is filed under the name uncultured Actinomycetales bacterium. Its description in RNAcentral is "partial 16S ribosomal RNA". It matches the Rfam family "Bacterial small subunit ribosomal RNA", at positions 89 to 334 of the family's 1533-position model. The record is from RNAcentral. Lineage: Bacteria; Bacillati; Actinomycetota; Actinomycetes; Actinomycetales.